RNAcentral lists this ribosomal RNA (510 nucleotides) under uncultured bacterium. RNAcentral describes it as "partial 16S ribosomal RNA". It matches the Rfam family "Bacterial small subunit ribosomal RNA", at positions 28 to 507 of the family's 1533-position model. The record is from RNAcentral.
GACGAACGCUGGCGGCGUGCUUAACACAUGCAAGUCGAACGAGGAGCGAUGGAAGCUUGCUUCUAUCAAUCUUAGUGGCGAACGGGUGAGUAACGCGUAAUCAACCUGCCCUUCAGAGGGGGACAACAGUUGGAAACGACUGCUAAUACCGCAUACGAUCUAAACUCGGCAUCGAGGAUAGAUGAAAGGUGGCCUCUACAUGUAAGCUAUCACUGAAGGAGGGGAUUGCGUCUGAUUAGCUAGUUGGAGGGGUAACGGCCCACCAAGGCGAUGAUCAGUAGCCGGUCUGAGAGGAUGAACGGCCACAUUGGGACUGAGACACGGCCCAGACUCCUACGGGAGGCAGCAGUGGGGAAUCUUCCGCAAUGGACGAAAGUCUGACGGAGCAACGCCGCGUGAGUGAUGACGGCCUUCGGGUUGUAAAGCUCUGUUAAUCGGGACGAAAGGCCUUCUUGCGAAUAGUGAGAAGGAUUGACGGUACCGGAAUAGAAAGCCACGGCUAACUACGUG